Molecule: ribosomal RNA, 253 nt
Filed under: uncultured bacterium
Lineage: Bacteria
Description: partial 16S ribosomal RNA
Rfam family: Bacterial small subunit ribosomal RNA
Source: RNAcentral
UACGGAGGUUGCGAGCGUUGUUCGGAAUAACUGGGCGUAAAGGGAGCGCAGGCGGUCGAAUAAGUCUAAAGUGAAAUCCCGGGGCUUAACCUCGGAAGUGCUUUGGAUACUGUUCGGCUAGAGUUCGUGAGAGGAAAGCGGAAUUCCAGGUGUAGCGGUGAAAUGCGUAGAUAUCUGGAGGAACACCGGUGGCGAAAGCGGCUUUCUGGCGCGAUACUGACGCUGAGGCUCGAAAGCAUGGGGAGCAAACAGG